UCCCCUGGGAUGCUCACAUCUGUUGUCUCUAACAACUGACGCCGGUGACCUGGGGAUCCUGGGCAACUCCCAGACUCUAAUAUUGCGGGUUUGGGGCCGUGGUCCCUUUAAGGGGCGAGGCUGGGAGUGUCCCACCCUUGACUGCUCCACCUCAGGGCGUGCCCACUUGGCGUGGCGCUUUGAAACCCUCGACUCACUGAGACCUAUUCUGUGUCCUGGAGCCCCUAGCGCUGGUUGUCACUUGUGCAUCUGGCCCUGUGGGGCGCAGGGCUUGAGAUGAGGUUGGCAGGAGGGGACUGUAGAGGUCUAGCCGACCCCAAUAGAACAGGGAGGUGGCCAAGCCUGCCUGAGGCUACUAGGAGCUAGCAGCCAGCCUGGGCUGGAUGGGGGAGGUCGGGAGCAAGAGAGGGAAAGCGUGGGAGGCUCACGUGGAGGGCCGCCCUCAAGCUUUGGGGAAGCAGGAAUCUUGCCAGUUGGAGCUGAGAGAGGACUGGGAAGGGCCCCUAAGCGGGAAGCCGCCUCGGCAAGGGAAGGCUAUGCUGGAGUCCAGACACCACCUUCAUUUCCUGGGCACUGGUUAGGAAAACGAGGACAAAGAGACACCCCAGGAUGUGGCUCCCCUUCCUAUCAAGACAGGGAUGACUCUCUGGGCCCAUGGCCACUGCUUCAGUUUCUGCCCUGACUUCUCUCAGCAAUGGCCCGUGAUAUGGAACUGUAAGCUGAAAUAAAACCACUUCCUCCCCAA
Long non-coding RNA from Meriones unguiculatus (Mongolian gerbil), 745 nucleotides. RefSeq lists it as uncharacterized. The transcript is spliced from 2 exons. The record is from RefSeq and is a predicted model, not a curated record. Lineage: Eukaryota; Metazoa; Chordata; Mammalia; Rodentia; Muridae.